Molecule: ribosomal RNA, 252 nt
Filed under: uncultured bacterium
Lineage: Bacteria
Description: partial 16S ribosomal RNA
Rfam family: Bacterial small subunit ribosomal RNA
Source: RNAcentral
ACGUAGGGUGCAAGCGUUAAUCGGAAUUACUGGGCGUAAAGCGUGCGCAGGCGGUUGUGCAAGACAGAUGUGAAAUCCCCGGGCUCAACCUGGGAAUUGCAUUUGUGACUGCACGGCUAGAGUGUGUCAGAGGGGGGUAGAAUUCCACGUGUAGCAGUGAAAUGCGUAGAUAUGUGGAGGAAUACCGAUGGCGAAGGCAGCCCCCUGGGAUAACACUGACGCUCAUGCACGAAAGCGUGGGGAGCAAACAGG